Molecule: long non-coding RNA, 3774 nt
Organism: Manacus vitellinus (golden-collared manakin)
Lineage: Eukaryota; Metazoa; Chordata; Aves; Passeriformes; Pipridae
Exons: 3
Source: RefSeq, a predicted model, not a curated record
UUUUUUUUUGUUUUUUUGUGACUGAAGUGACAUAGUGGCACCUGUGCCAUUGACUUUACAGAGGUCUCAUUGUCACCAAAUCACAGAAAUGCUUUCAAGAAUUUUACCUCAAGUUCUCAGCCCACAGCACUCACCCCUGAAUGUUCAAAAUGCAAAUCUGUCUUGUUCCUUCUGAAGCUAUUUCCUUCUGAAGGUAGAGCACAUCCUUGUGAAGCCAAGUAGGCACCUCCAGGGAGUUGUUUCCAUAACAACCUCCCGGACUGUUUCUCUCUACGCUGUGACUGUGGCUACAAGCAAAAGCCCUCGUUGGAUAUUUUGUUUUCAGAUAUUAGCACCUCAUCUUCACAGACGUUUUCCUUGCUUCCUGAAGAUGAUCCCAUCACCUUGUAUCAUGUACAGCUUGUCCUGUCCAACUUCAGAAGGACAGUUAUCAGCCUUUGAAAGAAGGGAGUGCAAACCUGGAGAUGGGAAGAGAUUUAACUUGUACACAGGGGGGGUUGGAGAGUGUGUGAAGGGACAAUCUGGGCACUCAGUCAAGGAGCUGAGGGACAACUGGCCUGUGGAUGUAGAGUCAUCUGGGUGCCCAGUGACAGGGAACACAAGCUAAAGCAUCACAUGAAAAGACCAGAAAUUCCUCUUUCAACAGUCUCACUAGGAAAUAGUUUUGCAGUGGAGAAGACUGUUGUUCCUUCCUGAUCCCUUGGCUGGUUUGUGACAAUCAGCUUCCCAGAGAAUGUUUCCCACAGGAUGUUUUGCACCAAAGCAGGACAGGGCAGAAAUCAUCUCCUUGGAGGUGGGGAAGGAAGAAAAAGAAUUCUACUGAGGACACCAUUUUUAAAUCCACUUAAAGGACUGUAAGUGUGAAAGGCAUGAAGACCUGUUUUGUGAUAUUUCGAGGUCUGCAUUACCAGUAGAUUCCUGCACUUCCUUCCAAGAUAAAAUUCCUAUUCUGCUCCUGUGUGGAAAAUGUUGGAAUUCAGGAUUUCUGAGCAAUUUUCUGUUUGGCCCUUUUCUUUCAUGGAUAAAAACUCACUGCUACAGCAGCCAUUGGGGUGAAGGUGACUGGACUUGGUGUUCUCUCAGCCCUCUCGUUCAGUGUACAGAGAUCCCUAUGGAGAUAAAGAAGAGUGAGUAUUAAGGAAAUUCAGGGCAGUAAGAGAGAGGGUAAGGACUGAAGUGUCUUCUGUACAGUGAUGGGAAGAACAGCAUCAACCCGGAAAGCAGAGGAAUAAACAGCUCCAGCAUCAGCUGCUGUAGCUAAAAUAGGUCCUGUUUACACCAGGGAAGGAUCUGCAGAUUACAGCAGGAGUUAACCACAGCUUUCCCAAAAGUGCUCAUCUGACUUGAGUCCAAGCUGGAUUCUGGAUGCUGCAAGGCUGUCAUGUCAGGAUGCUGCAAAAGAGGUGGUUGCAUCUUCUUACUGUAGAGUUGGUGACGUUUCCCUGUGUGCAGGGAAUCCGACCUUUUUGGACAGGAAACUUUUCCUUGCUUUGUGAUUUUCUUGGUGCUGUUGAUUUUGAAGGGGUCAACACUCUCAGUUCAAAGAAACUGAAACUAGAUGUGAACAGGGAUUGGAAGAAGGAGGCAGGGAGAAUCCCCUACAAGAUUCAAAUGUGUCUCAUUUCCGGGGAAACCAAGUAAAACAGGAUUCAACUGCAGCAAUUUAUGAGCUGUUCAUCAAAAACCCCAGACAAGCACUGAGUUCUGUGGGAAGCUGGAAAUGACACAGGACAUCUCCAAAAGACUCUGCUGUUGAAACUUCCUUUAAACUUUUUUUUUUCAAGUGGAAGAUCCAGACCUGGCAAAUGGGUAAGGUCAUCCCUUAGAAGAGCUCUCUCCAGAGAAUUGAGCAAGUCACCGAAGUCUGUCCGUUUGUCUGCCUGUCUUUUGGCCUCGGGUUACUGUGCUUUUUAAAACUGUGAUUUCAUAGCUCAGAUAAAAGGUAGGUAUUUCACAUAGCUCUACAGGUAGCAAUCAUCCUGUUCAUGCAAAAUAUCUGCUGUGUAAGGGAUGGGCCCAAACUAGAGGUGUUUCUCAUGUACCUACAAAGCGUCUUGCCUAGUGUAUGUACAGUCAGUUCUUGUGAACAUGUGAGUCCAUUGCCUGCUCUAAAGGAGUUAGUGACUUAGUUUCAGUGGUCAUAGAGGUUUUCACCAAAAUAGCGCUGUUUGUGGUAGUCUUUUGUGUGAUUUAGAAGACACAAUAGCCAGACAGUUCUGAAAUUAUGAUAUAAUUGUACUCAGCAUUCCCAGAAAAUGCUCUGAAGUUUUCUCCUGUUGCACCAUUGUGAUAAGAACCUCUGUUGCUUUUCAAGCUCCGCAAGUCCAUGCUGUGCUGUGCUGAAAGUGCUUGAAAACCCAGUUAGGAUUGAAAAGGGAAGGGCAGAGAGGGAUGCUGUGGCCUGGAAUUCCCUCCCUUUGGCAGCGGCAAAGGUCAGUCGUGCACCAGAUUUCCAUAACCACAUGUGGAUCCACCCUGUGUGUGUUGCCAGUUCUCUGCACAGGAGAGUGGGAGGAUGGGUAGAAAGAAUUGAUUCUGAAAGGGGAGAGACUGAGAAGAGUGGAGUAAGCAGGAUGACUGGGAUUUUCAGAAGUUAGUCUGAUGGAUGCUGGGCACUGAGUUCCCUAGAACUAUUUAUCAAUAACACCCUCUCUAUUUUCAUGAGUGACAUUUAGCCUGUCUGGCAGUUCUCACAGUCAGUGUGUGAGGGAAAAGAGGUAGAAGGCAGUUCACUCUGCUUUGGCAGCUGUAACAGGCUGGGCUGUAAUACCUGAGGGUCUGAACUCUGACAAGCUGUGACAUCCUGACUACCUGUCAGGUUCACAGAGGCUUAUAAAAGAAACCCUGAGCUGCCAGAUUGAAAGUUGCUUCUGGAGCAGGUCUUCUGAGUAGUCCUUAGUGUGGAUGUGAGGCUGUGGUCCUUAGGCAGUGUGUACUCCAUGUUCCCAAGAGACCUACUCCAUGUCUUAGUGCCGGCCAGCUUGCACUGUGGGACUUCUCUGAGUCUCUGUGUAUCCUGAUCUUGCCAUGUGGCUGACAGUGAGUGACCAGAGCUGCCAUGGACAGCAAAGGCAGUUGUCUUCAGAGUCAGCCUAGGUGCAGGCUGCCUUUGGAAAAGCAUAACUAUCCUGCAGAAGCCCAUGGAUACCCUUCAGACACACGGCGCACCGGUCAGAGGCUUUAGACCAUGCUGUGCGCCCACACAAUCAGCAGGGGUGGUAGUUACAGGAUUGCUUUGCUUUUGCUGUGAGACCUGGUUCUGAUGCAUUAUUUCAAGGAAGACAGUUGGAAUUUUCAGGCCAGACCAUGUGGUGAAAUAAGUAAUUCCAGCUCCCUUAUUGGAGCGGCUUGAUAGAAAUCUGGUUCAACAUUUCUGAGCAAUUGUUGAUGGUGCAAUUUGUUUGUUUCAAUGAAAACCUGAAGCCUUUCCAAUAGAGAACGUGAGGUGUAGAGAAUUUUUUGAUGGAGGACAUGCUUCAGGCUGUUUGCUGGAUUCAGGCUUUGAGAAUCCAAGUUCUUUGUAGGCAGUCCCACACACAGUGGGAGAAGAGGUUAUUAGGCUUGGAAGUUGACCAGGGAGAUGGGACUCAACUGAGCUUUGAAAAGCAAUCAUUGUCCUUAUUGAUGGUACCAUAAUAUGUGCUUGACUUAAACCCAACCUUGCACAGGCAAGAACCUUUUAAGUCAUGUAAUUAGAUAUGUGUGGUUGUUCCUACCAGUGUGAUCCAGUGUUGAAUAGGCUAGAACAUAUGAAUAAAAUCAGUAUUUUUUAAA